AUGGAGGACGAGGAGGAGAAGGAAGAGGGCGAGGAGAAGGAGGAGGAUGAGGAGAAGGAGAAGGAGAAGGAGAAGGAGAAGGAAGAUGAGGAGCCGCCUCCCUGUCCCCUGACGGAGGAGCACUUCAAGGAGGGCCUCUCUCUCCUCUGUAAGACCGGCAACGGGCUGGCCCACGCCUAUGUGAAGUUUGAAGCCAAAGACAAGGGCCUGACAGACAUCAGCCUCCUCGAACGCUUCAUUCACCUGCGGUAUGUGGAUUUGUCAAAGAACAAGCUGAAAGAUUUGGCCCCCCUGAGCAGCCUAACCCAGCUGCUUUGGCUGAAGGUGGAUAGGAAUCUGCUCACCAGUGCCAGCAUGCAGGAGCUGCCCUACCUCCAAGUCAUCAGCUUUGAUCGCAACCACAUAGUGGAUUUUGAGGGCAUUACUCACCCCCUCCUAGCCAACCUCAGCCUGAAAGAAAAUAAAAUCGAGACACUGCUGGGCCUGAGUCACGACCAUUUGUUCAGCCUGCAAGUCCUGGAGCUGCGAGGAAACAAGAUAAACACCACAGCAGGGCUCGGCGUUUCCAAGCUCAAGAAGCUCUAUCUGGCCAAGAACACCAUUUGCAGCCUUGAAGGCCUUGAGGAGUUUGAGCAGCUGGAGAUUCUGCACCUGCGUGACAACAAGCUUGAGGCCCUGGAUGGAUUCUCUGCUAGCAUGAAGUGCCUGCAGUACCUCAAUCUACGGGAUUUCACUACUUGCACGGGUCUCCUUGCUCUGCUCUCUGUGCUUCAGGAGCAAUGGGAUCAAAAGCUUUCAGGAGGUGGGAAAGCUGCAGGUGCUGCCCAUGCUGCAGGCGCUGGUGCUGAUGGACAAUCCGUGUGCCCAAGAACCCGAUUACCGGCUGCAGGUCCUGUCCCGGCUGCCACGGCUGCAGCGCCUUGACAAGGAAACGGUCGAGGAAGAGGAGCGGGAAGAGGCCGAGAAAAUCCGACAGACAAGGAGGGAAAAAGAAAAAGAAAAGGAAAUGCAAGAAUCUCUUGAGGAUACAGUGCCUGAGUGACCCGUUUUUAACACCUGUUCCCAGAGGCUGUCAAGAUGUAGUGAUGCCUUUCCUCAUUUGUGAGGCUGAGAAAGCGAGAGCUGUAGGUACCAGCUUCACCUCGUUUCACCUCUGGAGAAAAGAGGAGUGCUACCCACCCUGGUCCUGGAAGUUGCCCUGAGGCACUGCAGUGUUUUUGCAGUCACUGCACUGUGUUCUAUUCUCAGUAGGACUGAGAGGGGAAAGGGGAGAGUUACAGGUCCUGCAGUUCAAUUUGAUUCCCAAAAACCCUGCAAGAUUUUCUGAUUUGAAUAAAAAUAAUUAAUGAGCCUGGA
Agelaius phoeniceus (red-winged blackbird) is the source of this 1356-nucleotide non-coding RNA. Lineage: Eukaryota; Metazoa; Chordata; Aves; Passeriformes; Icteridae. The record is from RefSeq and is a predicted model, not a curated record.